Molecule: ribosomal RNA, 465 nt
Filed under: Vreelandella stevensii
Lineage: Bacteria; Pseudomonadati; Pseudomonadota; Gammaproteobacteria; Oceanospirillales; Halomonadaceae
Description: partial 16S ribosomal RNA
Rfam family: Bacterial small subunit ribosomal RNA
Source: RNAcentral
CCUACGGGGAGCAGCAGUGGGGAAUAUUGGACAAUGGGCGAAAGCCUGAUCCAGCCAUGCCGCGUGUGUGAAGAAGGCCUUCGGGUUGUAAAGCACUUUCAGUGGGGAAGAAAGCCUUGGGGCUAAUACCCUCGAGGAAGGACAUCACCCACAGAAGAAGCACCGGCUAACUCCGUGCCAGCAGCCGCGGUAAUACGGAGGGUGCGAGCGUUAAUCGGAAUUACUGGGCGUAAAGCGCGCGUAGGCGGUCUGAUAAGCCGGUUGUGAAAGCCCCGGGCUCAACCUGGGAACGGCAUCCGGAACUGUCAGGCUAGAGUGCAGGAGAGGAAGGUAGAACUCCCGGUGUAGCGGUGAAAUGCGUAGAGAUCGGGAGGAAUACCAGUGGCGAAGGCGGCCUUCUGGACUGACACUGACGCUGAGGUGCGAAAGCGUGGGUAGCAAACAGGAUUAGAUACCCUAGUAGUC